RNAcentral lists this long non-coding RNA (241 nucleotides) under Sinocyclocheilus grahami. Its description in RNAcentral is "lncRNA (ENSSGRG00000014570.1)". Lineage: Eukaryota; Metazoa; Chordata; Actinopteri; Cypriniformes; Cyprinidae. The record is from RNAcentral.
AUUCCCGCUCUGCACCCUUUCAUCAGGGUCUUCCCGGAACGGAUGGCAUCCCAGGGUUACCAGGGCGACCAGGUAGAACUGGACCCCCUGGUUCUCCUGGACAAAGGGGGGCACCUGGAAUUCCUGGUGACAUGCAGGAGUUGGAGGAGCAGGCAAUUAUCUUUGAGUGAUUCACAGAGGGAGUAAUGAGGAAUGAUUAUGGCUAGUCAGUAUAAAGUAUUUGCCCCCACAUUCUUUUAAA